CUUGAUACUGCCCAGAGAAAUUAUGCUACUACUGAGAAAGAGUUCUUAGCUGUUGUGUUUGCAUAUGAUAAGUUUAGACCUUAUAUUGUUGAUUCCAAAGUUACUAUUCACACUGAUCAUGCUGCUAUUAAAUAUCUUAUGGAAAAGAAAGAUGCUAAGCCUAGACUCAUUAGAUGGGUUCUCUUGCUCCAAGAAUUUGACUUGCAUAUUAUUGAUAGAAAGGAAGCUGAGAACCCCGUUGCAGACAACUUGUCUAGGUUAGAGAAUGUUCUUGAUGACCCACUGCCUAUUAAUGAUAGUUUUCCUAAUGAACAAUUAGCGGUUGUCAAUGCUUCUCAUACUGCUCCUUGGUAUGCUGAUUAUGCUAAUUACAUUGUUGCUAAAUAUAUACUGCCUAGUUUCACAUACCAGCAAAAGAAAAAGUUCUUUUAUGAUUUAAGACAUUACUUCUGGGAUGAUCCACACCUUUAUAAAGAAGGACUAGAUGGUAUUAUUAGACGUUGUGUGCCUGAGCAUAAACAGGAACAAAUCCUACGCAAGUGUCACUCUGAAUCUUAUGGAGGACACCAUGCUGGAGAUAGAACUGCACACAAGGUACUACAAUCU
Molecule: ribosomal RNA, 606 nt
Filed under: Triticum aestivum (bread wheat)
Lineage: Eukaryota; Viridiplantae; Streptophyta; Magnoliopsida; Poales; Poaceae
Description: partial small subunit ribosomal RNA
Source: RNAcentral